GACGUUUAGGGACGCGACGCGUCGCCACGCAAUGCAAAUCGGGAAAAGGGGAUGAGCUGGGCUGGUUUCCGUCGGGAUAGCGAAGGCUAGUUCUCCUCGGUUUGUUGGGAGAUGGGCCUGUGGCAGGGAGGCCGGCGUUCGUGAAGUACGCCCGGCGCUACGGUGAGUGCAGGUCAGGUCUCUGGCCUUUGUUUAAUGGGGAUUCGUCCUCGGUGAACCUUCUACCCUUCCACCAGCUGUUGGUCACCAGGGAGAUUAGCCCUGCCCGCGGAGGGACGACCCCAAGAACUGGCUGGUAAAGGAAAGGCCCAACCUCUAACAUUUCCAGCUGCCCACCUAGGUUGCCCAGAAAGUUUCGUGUGGUUUUCCGGUCUCAGAAGGUGGCCUUGGCCAUUUCUUCUUUCGCAUGGACACUAAGACCCAAUUUUGACCUCUUUCCCCAUUACUCCGUUUUCUGAUUUUUUUUUCUGUGUAUCUACAAUCCCAGGCCUUACUACAACCCCUGACAGUUUGCAAAUUCUUCCUGUGCCCCAGCCACACUUGGUUUUAGUGAAGUGAAAGCAUGAGUUUAAUAAGCUAAUCAGAGUUAAAACUGACUUCCUCUAGCAGAAGGAUUUCUUUAGAAAAUAUGCCUAAUAUCCUAGAUUGUGUCACGGACAAGUUAAUUUCACCUCUACUGUACCGAGGAAAUUAUUAGAAUCCUGGAUUGCAGUUAUGUAUUUAUACAUAAAGCUGCAGACUACACUCCUAGGUUUAUUUCCUCCAGUUUAUCCUUGUGACCUUGAUUAAGUCACUUAAUCACUCACAAAAUAUUUACCUGACUCUCAGAGGUGUUGUAGAGCCUCAGGAAUUUAAUAUUUGUUAAGUGCUUUAAGGGUUUCAGAUCAAAGAGAUGUCUACUAGAGAAGGUUUACUCUUUUUUUUUUUUUUUUUGAAGCUGCAGAGCAUCCUUAUUUCUGUAUAUAUCUUGCUGCAUUAAAGAUGCCAAGUGAUAAUUGUUAAGAAGUGUUCCUGUUGUAGACUUGUUCUGCGGCUUUGCAGUGUAAGCAAAUUUUCAUUUCAUCCGAGUCUGUUGAAGAUUCAUUGUUGAGUGUCAUUCAUGAUAGUUUCUCAUCAUUACAAUAAGGUGAUGGCAGUUGUUGUAUAUUUUUAUCAAACUGGUAUGGCUGGGUGAAAUAAUGUAUUCCUCUUCUUGUGACACAUUAGGUGUAUCUUUAAAAUUAGUAAGAAUCCUGCCACACAUCUGUCAUUAAUAGAAUUUUACAUGGACAUGUAUUUUAUUUGGGAAAACGGCAUAAGAAAAACAAAAAUAUUUUAAAGGUGCUUUGAAAAACAUUUUAAAAUAUAUUUACUUGAACUUUAUUAAUUAUCAUGGGCAUUUGUUUAUUGAUGUGUACAUAGUGGGAAAGAACCAGAAUGACUUCUUAAAGCAAGAUACUUGAAAAAUAAAGUCAGCAUAUCAAAUUUUUUAAAUAAAAUAUCUAGCAUUUGACUUUAUUAUAUGGUUUUCUAUAUGAAAAUGAAGUCAUUUUUGUAGAAGUCAAAGGAAAAGAGCCCAUGCAAAUAUUAGUUGCUAAUAAAAUUAAAUAUAAUUAAGGAAACAUUUGAAAAAAAUGUAUUUUAUGUUCUAGCUACAAGAUUCAAGGCCAUCCUGGACAAAAAAAAUGAGACCCUGUUUCAGUAAAGAAAGGAAGAAGUUUCACUAUUAUUCCAGUUGCCUUUUGCUGCAUCAUAAGUCACUCAAAAACAGUAGCUUAAAACUACAAUUUAGUAUCUCAUGUUUUUUGUGGCUGACUGGCCUUAGGUUAUUCUCACUUAGGGUUUCAUGAAUUUGUAGUCAAAUAAGUUGCUAGGGUUGGAGUUAACCUGAAAUCUCAACUGGAUUUCUGGCUCACUCACAUGGAUGGCAAUUGAUGUUGGUUGGAGUUCAACUGGUGUGCCUACACAUAACUUCUUAGUGUGUCUUGAACCUCUUACAGCAUGAUUGCUGGAGUCCAAGAAUACAUGUUUGAAGACACAGGAAGAAUAAGCUGCUAAUAUCUUAAAAGCCUGGACCUAGAAAUUGUCACAGCAGUAUUUCCAAUAUACUCUACUAGUUAAAGCAACCAAAGAGCUGUGUCCCCAUCAGAUGAUAGACUCCCCACAUGCCUGCCUUUUUUUUUUUUUUUUUCCCUUGGUGUUGCUGGGGAACCCAGGGCAUUGCACUUAAUAGGCAAGCACUAUACUACUAAGUUAUACCCACAGCCAGAUUCCUACCUUUUGAAGCAAAAAAUACCAAAGAAUUUGUGGCCAUCUUCAUUUAGCUCACUGUAAUUUUGAUGACAAGGUUGUAUUGGACUUAUAUUUAGAUUUCUAUAGUCAAUGAAGAAUAAGGUACACUUUUAAUUUCUUUAAUCAUAGUGCUUUAUAUCUUUGUGGCAUAUUAAAAAUUUUCAAAGAAAAUUUUUCUAUAUAUAUUUUAACUCAAUACAGAUGGCAAUCCUAUAGAAGCAGAGAGAUUGUUUUUAUUUCAUUUUGCAGAUACAAGUAAACUGGAAAUGUAGUGUGUGGGUUAGGGGAAUUUAAGGAAUUUGCUAAACAACAUGCGAUUAAUGAAUGGAAAAUAAAAACUAAGACCUACAACAUUCCCUUAGUAUUAAAUGUAUUAGUGGUAAAUGGUAAAAUUUUAUAUUAAAUGUAUUUGGAAUUCUGUACUUAAAAUCAUACUAAUUCAAGUGAAACAGUACUAAUAUACAGUGAAUUAAGUCAAUGUUAACUAAGUCUCAUCUCUUGACUAACACAGUACCUGUACUUUAGUUUUUUUGUAAGACUGAACUCUCUGGAACAUACCAAUAAUGAGCAAAUAUACAUGUCUUUCUAUUAUAGUGAAAUGAAAUUGUUACAUAUUGUAAUACUAUUUUCAAAAUAACUCAGUCUGAAAAAAGUUAUAGGCGUAGGACUCCUGGAGCUCUUAUUUUAAUUUCUCAAUACAGAAUCUUUAAAUGAAAAGGAUUUCAUUCUUUUAUUAGGUUGGGAGUAUAUGAUUUAAGAUGCUGAUUUCAGUUGGAAAUAAGUUGUCAUCUUCCUAUUGUUGCUUCUAGAAAUAUUUGUUGCUAUCUUUUCUUUAUGUUCAUGGUUCUUAGUCUUGGCUGAACAUUAGAAUUCACCCGGGGAGCUUUUUUAUAAUAUCUAUGUGUAGAGCCCCUCCCUGAAGAUUCUGACUUAACUGUUGAGGGGUAGGAUCUGGGCCUCAAUGUUUUUUAAAAGUUCUCAAGGUGAUUUUAAUGUAUAACUAGGACUAACAGCCAUAUCAUUUUCUUUCCUUUCUUUUAUUCUCCCCCACUCCUUUUUUUGGUACAUAGUGGGGUAUGGUUCCCUACUUACCUAUUUUGCAGCUAUUUUAAAAAAUUGGGCAGCAGGGCAUAGUGGCAAACACCUGUAAUCUCAGCUACUUGGGAGGCUGAGGCAGGAGGACUGCAAGUUUGAAGCCAUCCUGGGCAAUUUAGACUCUGUUUCAAAAUAAAAUUAAUAAGGCUGGGGGUGUAACUCAGCGGUAGGGUGCACCUGGGUUCAAUUCCCAGUAGCCUCCUCUUCAGAAAAAAACACACAUUAAAUUAAAAAAAUGAGCAAAUAACGAAGGAGAAGAUAAAAGAAAUGGAUUAAAGUUUUAAGUGUAGACAGACAUCUAAUUUAGAAAAUCUUCUGUUUCUAGGAAUGGUCCCUAAUCAGAUUUUAAGUUGGUUUGCUAGUUCCUGUAUUUUGGCACUAAGCAUUACCAUUAUUUACUUGUCUUUCAUAGUAAGGGGUAGAAACUCUAUGGUAUAUAUGUAUAUAUUUUUGUAUUCUUUGUAGCGCUCAACAUUGCACCUCGUUGAAUAGUAAUGUUUACCAUAAUGCCUAAAUGUUUACUAUAUUUAAAUUUGUUUAUGUUGUUUGUGAUUAGACCUAGGGAUAGUUAUUUCACUCUUAUUUUCCCCCCCUUAGUAUUUUAAGAACUCAGUAAAACUUUUGUUUGGAAUUGUCUUUCCUUGGUUUCCAUGAUAUUGCACUUUCCUGAUUUUCCUUCAUUGUAAUGACUCCUGCUUUUUUUUCUGAAUAUUUUUUCCUUUAGACUCACCAGUUCUGGAUCCUUCAAGUAAAUUGUCAGCUGAAUAGAAACAGCUCAUUUCCUUGAUGAUUUAUUCUCCUGAUUUUUGUUACUACUAUAUAUGAUGUCUGUUUUACUUGUUUUUUAAAAAUGUUUUUCUUCUUUUUUUUUUUUUUUUUUUUUUUGAGAUGAGGAUCUUGCUAUGUUGCCAAGGUUGCCUCCACCCCUGAGUUCAAGUGAUCCUCCUGCCUAAGCCUUCUGAAUAGCUGGGACUACAGGAAUGCACCACCAUGUCUACUCAGCUGAUGUCCAUGUUUUUAAAAGUACUAUAGAAGUUUUAAAAUAUACUAUACAAAAAAUGAAGAAAAUAGAAUUGUUCUAAACCAAAUCCUAGAUAGCUUCAUUUCAGUGUCACUACUUCAUCAUUUCCCAAAUAAUUUGGAUUAUAAAAAUUAACAUUAGUGCCUUAAUAGUUGAUGCACAGAUUUAAUGUCUGGUCUUUCAACUGCUUUGUAAUUAAUUACAUAUUUAUACCUGUGUCAAGCCAUCUUUCUUUAGACACCAUUCUCUUUAUCAUUAUGUACUUUCCUGUAAAUCAGUGGUUCUUUCUUGGGGGUAAUGUACCUCUCAGGGGAUGUUUGGCAGUGUCCAGAGACUUUUGGGUAUUAGCUUUAAUGGGAAGAGGAGGGAUGCUACCAGCAUCUUACACUCUACAGAGCAACCUCCUACAACAGUUUUAUCUGGUUUAAAGUGUCAAUUUUAUUAGGUUGAGAAAUGCUGCUAUAAACAGAUCAGUUUUUAACCUACAGUAUUAUUCAUUUUUGUUUACAGCAUUACCUUCUUCACGUUUCACAGGGGAGGAAAAAAGGGGCGGGGGAGAGGGAGGGAGAUAUUGAGCUUAUCUGUCUGUAAGCAAAACACAAUACUCAUUUUAAUCAGUAUUCUACCAAAGCAUGUUUCUGCCUUUUUGUCUUUUUUUCCUGCAGUAGUCUUCUAGCUGUUCUUUUCCAUAGUAUCCUUGUUCCUGUCUGUUUUGAAUACAACUUGCAUAAUCUCCGAUUUGACCACACUGAGAAUAUUUUUUUCAUCAAGAACUGGCUUUUAUUGCCUCCUGAGUUAAACAGUUUUGGAUGGCUUCAAAAGUCCUCCACAAUGUUACUAUCUCCUUAUCUAAUAUAAUUUAAUUAUUAUUGUUACCUAACAGUUAUUAAGUGUUGACAGUGAGGACUACCUAGGUAGGUGCCAGGGAUACAAAGACAUCAGUGGAUUCCUUUGAUCCAAUUGAUUAUUUCUCAAUAAUUUCUACAGUAUACCUCAUUUUUCUCCUGUUCUAAUUUCUGAUUUUGUAUCUUUGUUCAUGGUGUUUCUCUUUUGAAAUGCCCUCUUUUCUCACUCUGUUCUUAGUUAAAUUUUAUCUUUGGGGCCAGUUUCUGUCUCUGCCUCAUCAUGUCCGCAUACUUGUCCUUUGGUCCAAAUACCACACUGAAGGAACAAUACAGAUAACAAGCAGUUUAGGGGUCAGACCAAACAGUGAACUCCAGGAGCUGGAACCUUCAGGGACAGAGAAGUGAAACUUAAGAUGGCUUUUGAAGGAAGAAAGGCCAGCACGAAAGAUGAGAGUGUACAUUCUGGAUUGGAAGCAGCUUUAUCUUUUCUAGUUAUACUGAAUUUUCCUCACCUUGUGACGUUCCAGUGACUAGAGUCACAAUGUAUAGUGUAACAAUUAAUUUGUGACUUAUUAAUGAGUAUUAAUUUGUUCUUGGCAACUAGACAAAGAGAUACGUAAUCUGAAGGCCUAUUCUCUGUGUCUCCUAGAGUAGUGCUAUUCAAAGUAGCCAGUCUGAAUCAUUUAAAGUCCUUUCCUUCAGUGUCAAGAUAAAAGCCUGCCCUAUAAUGUAAGUCAAUGCACUGUUUUCUACGGUGAGAAAGUCUUGCUACUAUAAAAAGGUCAAUGUGCUUAAUUGAUGUACAUUCUAUAACAAGCUUCCUAUUUUAUCAAGACUGUUAACAAAUACUUUUCCAUUGGUCUUUGGAUGUUGAAGUAGCAUUACUGUAAUGAGAGAGAUUAGAAUGUUUUAAAAAAUUAUAACCUGUAGUAAGAAAUACAUUUUAUAUUUUAAUCCAGUAUUGUAUACAUAUGUUUAUACACAUUGUAUCAGUUUGUUUUCUGUUUAUAAUGAGAAAUGUGAGGCCAGAUACUUUAUAAAGAAGAGAGGUUUGUUCAGCUCACAGUUUUGCAGUAAAAAGUCCAAAUAGCAUAGCACUGGCCCUUUCAGAGGCCUCCCUAACUGCAUCACAUUAUGGUGGAUGACAUGUUGGGAGUGGGUAUGAGAGGGAGAGAUCACAUGGUGAGACAGGGAGCCAGAGAGGUACACUGGGGACUCACUGGGGUCCUACAAGUCCCUCAUGCCUCAUACCUUCUAAGGGAAGUGCCCACUAGGCCCUACCUCUUAAAGGUACCAGCACCUUUCACUAUGUGUGCCAUACUCCUAUAUUUUCUAUUUUGCAUAUUUUUAUUAUUUAUUUUUUUAGUUUCGGCGAACACAACAUCUUUGUUUGUAUGUGGUGCUGAGGAUCGAACCUGGGCCGCACGCAUACCAGGCGAGCGCGCUACUGCUUGAGCCACAUCCCCAGCCCCUCUAUUUUGCAUAUUUUUAAAAUGCUAAUUGCAAUGUCAUGAAUUUUGUGGUUGGCGGGGUGCCAAGGAUAGAAUCCAGAGAUGCUUUUUACCAUUAAGCUACAUCCCAGCCCUUUUUACUUUUUAUUUUGAGACAGGCUCUUAUUAAGUUGUUGCUGAGGGUCUUGUUAAGUUGCUAAGGCUGGCCUUGAACUUGGCAAUCCUUCUGCCUCAGCCUCCUGAGUCACUGGGAUUACAGGUGUGAGUCACUGCACCUGACUUGAUGUCAUGGAUUUUAAAAACACUGCCUUCAAGCAUUUAGCACAUUGCUAGACAUAGUGUAUGCUUAGAAAAUGGCAGAAGUUUUAGCAGUAAUUAAAUCUUUUUUUUUUUGUUGUUAUGUGGUUCUGAGGAUCGAACUCAGUGCCUCACGCAUGCUAGGCAAGCGCUCUGCCACUGAGCCACAGUCCUAGCAGUAAUUAAAUCUUGAGAGAGGAUUGACUCUUCUUAAUACUUCAUGAUUAUUGUAAAAUGUUAUUUCAUCAGUACUUAGUUCUCUGUGUCAUUUUGCAUUGAAGAGUGUGGAGUGGAUUAUAUGAAAUUUAAGAGAUAGCCAGAGUCUCAGAAGAUAGAAGAUACAGUACUGAGUACCAAGUACAACUGUCUGAAGAGCAGUUAUGGGGAGAGAUGGUGGGUGACCAAGAAAGACAAAACUCUUAUUGUUACUGAGACCUUGACAGUGGCUGUUGUAAAGCCCCAGUUAGGAUAUCAGGACCAAUUUAGUGACUGUGAACCUCAAUUUUCACUUUUAUUUUUUUUUAGAGAAGACUUUUUAAUCAUCAUUUGUGGUUCAAGUCAUCUAAUCUACCAUCUGUGGAAAGAUUCAGUGUUGUCAGGAUCUUGCUUUUAGACUAACGCUGGUGUUCUUAAUCUUUGUUAGAUUUACACAUCUCUAAUAUUUUUUGUUCUUAAAAGAAUUUUUCUUAUAUAUACUUAUUUUCUUUAAAUUUUUGAUUUUUUGAAGCAUAACAUAGUGUUACUGGGUUAUAUUAUUAUAUUUAGUUUGUUCUAGAUCCAAACAGAGUCCAUAAAUUAACAUCGGUAGCUAAUGAACAUGUAUUCUUGAAUAGGAAUCAGUUGGCUUGCCAUUAUUGCUACUACUUUUUUCUUUGUUUUAAACUAUUGCAACCAAAAUAAGGAAAUUCAUUUAGUUAUUUUGGCAUUGAUUUAUUUAUGUCAGUUCAUAUUGAGUUUUCUUUAAUGGCAAAAUGCAGAUGACAUCAAAAACAUAAUAAUUAUGUUUAGGUUGGAUAUGUUUCUUUGCUUUCUCAUUUGAUUAAGAAAAAAACAAAAAAAACACCUUACCCUCUGUUUGACUUCUGCAUUAACAUGUGCUUGUGGAAGUGAAAGAGCAAUUAAAACAAUGCUGGCACCCAAGCCUCCCCUGCAGCCCUUGUGCAGCUGAGAGGGGGUCAGUGGGAGGCACCAGUGUUGCUGGAUUGCCUUCUUGGCCCUAGGCAUCACUGCCUUGCUGUUCCUAGGUACUGAAAGUGCUAUGGCUGGCUGUUUUCCUCCAGAUGGCACCCGUGGCAGAUAUGUCCUCAACAAGCUGCCUUCCCUGCCCCCACUGCUCUCAGGGCUCCAUACACACUGGGCUCUGAAGGUCUUCAGCUGCAGCUUGUUAUCUUGCAGUGGUCUUCAAGAAGUGACUGAUGUUGCUUUCAAGUAUAUCAAUUAACAAUAAAGUGAUUAAAUGUACAUUUUCAUGGUAUAAUUAACAAAUUUGCAUUAAUGUAAAGCAAAACAUUCUUAGGAUUUGUCAAACUAAUAUUGAGUGUUAUCUUUGUAGUAUGUGAAGAUUGAUGUCAAAAUAUUUUUUGUAAUUUAUAAAUUUAUGUUGCUUCUAAAUGUAUCUUCAUUACUUGUGUUAGGUUGUAUAAAUAAUAAAACAUUUUAAGGGGGGAAAAAAAAAAAACAAUGCUGGAAGUAUUUUUAACUCCAGCAUCGUAAUUCCACGGUAUAACAUAUACAAUUUUGUAAAUAAAAAUAGAAGCAACUGGUUCUUUGGACUUUGGAGAACAUUGUUGAACUCUUCUCAAAAAUCAAAUAAGGACAGAAAAGGCAGCUUAAAACGUAUAAUUUUUCUCCUAGAAGCUUUUGCCAAAACCCUUGGUGAUAUAAUGUUAUCCCUGUACUUUUCUUCCUUAUGUCUAAUCAUUUUGCCAAGUUCUGUCAUUAUACCUUUGCAGUGUUUCUUGUAUCUGCUGCCUCCCAUUCCAUCUCAGCUGCCCCAGUUCUGACCUUCGUCAUCUUUGCCUAGGAUCAUUGGAAUAGAUAACUAGUGUUUUUCCUAUUUCUAGUCUCUUAAGCCUAAUUUUGUACUCUUUGUUAAUUUGGAUAGCAUAACUCUCUUCAAGAUCUUUUUGUGGCUCUUCAUUACCUUCAAAGAACAAAGCAAAUGCUUCAGUGUGACAUUCAAGGUCUUUUUAAAAAAAUCUGUUUCAAGACUAUUUUUUCAGGUUUUGCUGCUUAGUAGAUCUUGUUCAUUCUCUGUAACAGCUAAUUUCUAAAGAUAUGUUUUACUUUCUUAACUCUUUCCUCAUAUUGUUCCUUACCUCUAUUGGAAGCUUUCUAUCAUUGGUAUAUCAACNCUUCAAGCAUUUAGCACAUUGCUAGACAUAGUGUAUGCUUAGAAAAUGGCAGAAGUUUUAGCAGUAAUUAAAUCUUUUUUUUGUUGUUGUUAUGUGGUUCUGAGGAUCGAACUCAGUGCCUCACGCAUGCUAGGCAAGCGCUCUGCCACUGAGCCACAGUCCUAGCAGUAAUUAAAUCUUGAGAGAGGAUUGACUCUUCUUAAUACUUCAUGAUUAUUGUAAAAUGUUAUUUCAUCAGUACUUAGUUCUCUGUGUCAUUUUGCAUUGAAGAGUGUGGAGUGGAUUAUAUGAAAUUUAAGAGAUAGCCAGAGUCUCAGAAGAUAGAAGAUACAGUACUGAGUACCAAGUACAACUGUCUGAAGAGCAGUUAUGGGGAGAGAUGGUGGGUGACCAAGAAAGACAAAACUCUUAUUGUUACUGAGACCUUGACAGUGGCUGUUGUAAAGCCCCAGUUAGGAUAUCAGGACCAAUUUAGUGACUGUGAACCUCAAUUUUCACUUUUAUUUUUUUUUAGAGAAGACUUUUUAAUCAUCAUUUGUGGUUCAAGUCAUCUAAUCUACCAUCUGUGGAAAGAUUCAGUGUUGUCAGGAUCUUGCUUUUAGACUAACGCUGGUGUUCUUAAUCUUUGUUAGAUUUACACAUCUCUAAUAUUUUUUGUUCUUAAAAGAAUUUUUCUUAUAUAUACUUAUUUUCUUUAAAUUUUUGAUUUUUUGAAGCAUAACAUAGUGUUACUGGGUUAUAUUAUUAUAUUUAGUUUGUUCUAGAUCCAAACAGAGUCCAUAAAUUAACAUCGGUAGCUAAUGAACAUGUAUUCUUGAAUAGGAAUCAGUUGGCUUGCCAUUAUUGCUACUACUUUUUUCUUUGUUUUAAACUAUUGCAACCAAAAUAAGGAAAUUCAUUUAGUUAUUUUGGCAUUGAUUUAUUUAUGUCAGUUCAUAUUGAGUUUUCUUUAAUGGCAAAAUGCAGAUGACAUCAAAAACAUAAUAAUUAUGUUUAGGUUGGAUAUGUUUCUUUGCUUUCUCAUUUGAUUAAGAAAAAAACAAAAAAAACACCUUACCCUCUGUUUGACUUCUGCAUUAACAUGUGCUUGUGGAAGUGAAAGAGCAAUUAAAACAAUGCUGGCACCCAAGCCUCCCCUGCAGCCCUUGUGCAGCUGAGAGGGGGUCAGUGGGAGGCACCAGUGUUGCUGGAUUGCCUUCUUGGCCCUAGGCAUCACUGCCUUGCUGUUCCUAGCUACUGAAAGUGCUAUGGCUGGCUGUUUUCCUCCAGAUGGCACCCGUGGCAGAUAUGUCCUCAACAAGCUGCCUUCCCUGCCCCCACUGCUCUCAGGGCUCCAUACACACUGGGCUCUGAAGGUCUUCAGCUGCAGCUUGUUAUCUUGCAGUGGUCUUCAAGAAGUGACUGAUGUUGCUUUCAAGUAUAUCAAUUAACAAUAAAGUGAUUAAAUGUACAUUUUCAUAGUAUAAUUAACAAAUUUGCAUUAAUGUAAAGCAAAACAUUCUUAGGAUUUGUCAAACUAAUAUUGAGUGUUAUCUUUGUAGUAUGUGAAGAUUGAUGUCAAAAUAUUUUUUGUAAUUUAUAAAUUUAUGUUGCUUCUAAAUGUAUCUUCAUUACUUGUGUUAGGUUGUAUAAAUAAUAAAACAUUUUAAGGGGGGAAAAAAAAAAAACAAUGCUGGAAGUAUUUUUAACUCCAGCAUCGUAAUUCCACGGUAUAACAUAUACAAUUUUGUAAAUAAAAAUAGAAGCAACUGGUUCUUUGGACUUUGGAGAACAUUGUUGAACUCUUCUCAAAAAUCAAAUAAGGACAGAAAAGGCAGCUUAAAACGUAUAAUUUUUCUCCUAGAAGCUUUUGCCAAAACCCUUGGUGAUAUAAUGUUAUCCCUGUACUUUUCUUCCUUAUGUCUAAUCAUUUUGCCAAGUUCUGUCAUUAUACCUUUGCAGUGUUUCUUGUAUCUGCUGCCUCCCAUUCCAUCUCAGCUGCCCCAGUUCUGACCUUCGUCAUCUUUGCCUAGGAUCAUUGGAAUAGAUAACUAGUGUUUUUCCUAUUUCUAGUCUCUUAAGCCUAAUUUUGUACUCUUUGUUAAUUUGGAUAGCAUAACUCUCUUCAAGAUCUUUUUGUGGCUCUUCAUUACCUUCAAAGAACAAAGCAAAUGCUUCAGUGUGACAUUCAAGGUCUUUUUAAAAAAAUCUGUUUCAAGACUAUUUUUUCAGGUUUUGCUGCUUAGUAGAUCUUGUUCAUUCUCUGUAACAGCUAAUUUCUAAAGAUAUGUUUUACUUUCUUAACUCUUUCCUCAUAUUGUUCCUUACCUCUAUUGGAAGCUUUCUAUCAUUGGUAUAUCAACUGCUUUCUCUUUUGUGAUCACUUCCAAGAUCUCUGUAGUCUGUAGUCAUACUUAAUUUUCUCUCUAAAUUUUUCUUAUAUUACAUUAUUUGUACUUAUAGUACGUUAUUUAUAACUCCAUAGUUUGAUAUCAUAGUAUAUUGUAUUAUAUUGCUGCUUAUGCCUUAUCUUUAACAUUAAUUUUUGUAUAAAGUUAUUUGGGUCCUUGAAGUUUUUGUUUGGUGACACAGAUCAGCUCCCCUGAUCUGCCCCAUCUGCAAGCAUACCUGCUAUGCGUACACACAUAUCACAACUUAAUUGAUAAAUUGAUACAUACCUAGCCAUUCUUCCUCUUAUCUUCAUUUUUUACUACCUGCUCUAUCUUCCUGUUCAGAAUUUGCCAGAGAUACAAGGAAACAAAAAAAAGUCACAAAACAUCAAAGACCUUUACAAAGUAAACUAGAGUACAUUAAUGUUUUCUGGUAGAAAUAAACAUGUUCUUUUUUUCCUAGCUCUGUAUAAUAUGGCCUUGCCUACAACUUGCUUUUUUUUUUUUAAUAACCUGAUAUUAUCAAUGAGAAAAAAGUAUUUCUGGAUGAAAAUUUCCUCUACUUGUGAUCUGUACAUUAAUGUAGUCUUAAUAGAAGAAAACUGUAAAAACUCUUAUUCUUCUUACUGCUGGUUAAUUUAACAGCUAAAUUUCCUAAUAAUGCAAAAUGAUACAAAUAAUUCAUUUAAUGAAAAUUUGAAAAAAAUUGUUUAUUUAUACCUUAUGUUUUUGAACUCCCCAAAUAGAUAUUCAAGAUCAUUUAAAUACAGUUUAGAAGCUUUUUGUUGAUUUGUUUUAUUUGCUUACUUAUACAUAGGUUUGAACCUAAGACCUUGCCCAUGCUAGGCAAGUGUCUACUACUAAGCCAUACACCCAGCCCGAGAGUUUUUUAACUGCUCUUUUGCUUUAUUGUGAGUGGGGAAAAUUAGUGAAAUUAUUUGUUUUGUUUCAGGAAACAACUAUUUUUCAUUAAAUACACCACCCAUUAUGAAAGUGGAUAAGUAAAGAUUAUUCAUCAUGCCUGCUGUAGCUUCAGUUCCUAAGGAACUCUACCUCAGUUCUUCACUAAAAGACCUCAAUAAGAAGACAGAAGUUAAACCAGAGAAAAUAAGCACUAAGAGGUAUGUAUCCUCUGCUAGUUUGAUUGAAUCAUUAAUUUUAGUUCAUUUCCUUAUUCAAGUUAGAUGAAUAGUCAGUUUAAAGUUUAUUUGAAAAAUAAUACCAUCACAUGAAUACAGUAAGACUUUAGAGAAGUUCUUUAUCUUCACAGAUUAUGUAUAUGUUCUGCUUAUAUGCAUAAUAACUGCUUUCUGGACAGUAUGUAUAGUAGAUCAUAUGUUUAAGAGACAAAGAAUAUUGAGGGUUUUAUAAACCAUUGUCUUUUCAUAAAACAUUGUAAAAAUGAUGUUUAUUCUUGUUACUACACAUGUGAGUUAUGAUACUAGCAUAAUCUUUCUUUGAUCAAAAGAGAAGUAAUAGGUAGUUUUUGUUCACUAUUCAGUAAGGUAUUAUCUUGUGUCAGUUCAACCUUGGCUUUUAACUUAAUGAUUUAUUCUAUGUAUUUUUGUUUUUGAGGAUCCAUCUACCUGCAGAGGCAGGGCUAGAGAUGAUGCCUUCUUGAUAGAGAUUACAGAAUCUGGCCUGAAUAAAAUAUAAUAGUCAUCUGGUUAUUUCAGUAUUUACUGGAAAUAUAAUUUUGCUAAAAAUGAUGUAUCAAUAAAAUUGUAAACCAGUUAGUUAUAUCUCUGUUAAGGGACAGAAGACAAUAACAGAACUUUUAUUCUGAAUUUAUUUUGACCAACAAAGGAGAUUAAGAGAUAAAUAAGUAACCACAUUAUUAUAGCAUCAAAAAUGAGUUUUUCAAAAGCAAAGUGGACCUAGACACCAUAUUCCCCAUAUUUUGGGAAAGCAGACUUUAUAAAUUAAGGGGGAAAAUAGGUGCUUCAUGACAAGAUACAUAGGAGAGUCUCAAUAUUGAUAUGUAUGAUCUCAAAUGGACCAAUAAAUAGAUGUCCAUGGAAACCUAUGAAUGCACAGGGACAUCUUAAUGAGUCAUAUUUUUAAGGGAAAUAAAUUGAAGAUGGGAAGAAAACAAAACAUCAAAAAUUACAAGAGAAAGGUAAAAACACUUAAAAAGAUCAGGAAAGAAAAAUCCCAAAAUGAACUGAAAUUUCUAAAUGUUACCAAGACAAAAAUGGGCUUUUUUUUUUUUUUUUAAGAUAACCUUUUGGGGAAGAUUAAGAGGGAUUGUGAAUUAUUUCUUAGGGGCUAAGUGGGUGGUAUUGAUGGAUGACAAGGAAAGCAGUUCUAUUUAACUCCUGUAUGUGACUUUCUAAUAGGAAACAGUGGGAAAGAUAAAGUCACUUUUAAGCUUUCUCAAAGCUGAAGGACAGAAGGAUUUUUGAAAUAGGACCUAAAAUGGGUCAUUACUUUCUGGCAGUGUCUGACUUAUAUCUGAGAUCACCCGUACCCCAGAGGAAGUGGUUUAAGUUGGUUACAUCCAAACAUAUCUAACUAUGUACCAAUUGAAGUAGUUCAACCUAAAUUAUGAAAUUUACUCUAUCAAGGUUAUCUUUGAAAUUUAUAAAUGACCUAUAAUUUUUUUCCCAAAUGUCAAGUAUUUUAAUUAUUUUUCCUCUUAAUUUUAAGUUAUGUACACAGCGCCCUGAAGAUCUUCAAGGCAGCAGAAGAAUGCAGAUUAGAUCGUGAUGAGGAAAGGGCUUAUGUUCUAUAUAUGAAAUAUGUGUCUGUUUAUAAUCUGAUCAAAAAAAGACCUGAUUUCAAGCAACAGCAGGUACCUUUUAUUUUUGCAUUUUUAUUUGCUGUUUUUGCAUAA
Molecule: long non-coding RNA, 14539 nt
Filed under: Marmota monax (woodchuck)
Lineage: Eukaryota; Metazoa; Chordata; Mammalia; Rodentia; Sciuridae
Source: RNAcentral